CCCCCAAAGCUCACAUCAGUCCCUGUGCUUGUCACCUGCCUGGACAAGCUGCCCCCACAAGCUCCGGGGGGCUGCAACCUACUGGGACAUGUUUCCCGUUUGCAUCGGUUCCCACCGCGGCAAAGCGUAAAAAACGGGAUGAUGUGCAGGGGGGUCCACAAGUCGCCCCCAAAAGUCUGUGUCCUUUGAAUGUUUCCAGAAGAUUUGGCACUGCACCAAAAGCAGACAGCAAAUAUAUAUGAAGUGCCUACUGGAGAGUAUUCUGGACACCAAAACUGAAAAGAAGAAAAAAAAAUACACGUCCCUGGGUUCCUGGAACUUCACUCUGAUGGGUGCACCGGGAGGUUAGACAGCAGCAGGUAAGUGUGGUCAGCAGGUGACCCCACGUGGAGCGGGGUUGCUCCGUUGGGUGGUUGGUUAGGGAAGGCCUUCCUUUCUGGCAGGAUAGCUGAGGCCUUAGGAGAGGAGGGGGAGCCACGCAGAACUCCCAGGACGAGCAAGCAGAGGGAGGUGCUGGAGAUGAAACACAGGGGACGGGGCCGCAUCCCGGGGAGCCUCCUCCGGGGAGGUGGGAAGCUGUGGAGGGGUCACAGAGGAGUGACCCCGCAGAGGGGACCCAGAGAUUGUCAAGGCUCAGGGGAGAGCAGACCAGGCCUGGGGCAGAGGCGUCAGCCAGAGGGUGGGUAGUGACAGAUGGAAGGUGCCAGUGGCUUGCCUGCCCCCUACCUCCACCCCUGUGUUCACUGUGAAGAUGGUGACAAGUGGUCAUUGUCUGGGUAUACAGGAAAGAUCCAGGUUUUGUAGGGCCUAAAGCUGAUAUCACUGGGAGGCCCUAUUGAAGGCAACAAACAUAAAAUUAUGACUCCAAAUUUAGGUAGGAAAAUUAGUAUUAUAAGGAGUUCUUGCCCCGGGGUCCAUGAACACCCCUUCCCACCUUCUAUGGAUAAAAUCCAGGAGGUAGGGACACCUGGGUGGCUCAGUGGUUGAGCGUCUACAUUCGGCUCAGGUUGUGAUCCUGGGGUCCUGGGAUCCAGUCCCACAUCGGGCUCCCCACAGGGAGCCUGCUUCUCCCUCUAUAUCUUUCAUGAAUUUUUUAAAAAAGGGGGACACCUGGGUGGCUCAGUGGU
Molecule: long non-coding RNA, 1127 nt
Organism: Nyctereutes procyonoides (raccoon dog)
Lineage: Eukaryota; Metazoa; Chordata; Mammalia; Carnivora; Canidae
Exons: 3
Source: RefSeq, a predicted model, not a curated record